Molecule: long non-coding RNA, 1261 nt
Organism: Gasterosteus aculeatus aculeatus (three-spined stickleback)
Lineage: Eukaryota; Metazoa; Chordata; Actinopteri; Perciformes; Gasterosteidae
Source: RefSeq, a predicted model, not a curated record
GACUCACCCCCUUUUGUUCAUGACAUCGCGUGAGUUUCUCCAAGUGUGAAGGAGUGUGUUCACCACCCUCCUCUGGAAAUAUAAGUCUACUCUAAAAAGGUAAAGAUUCAAGUCGACAGAAAGGCGACUCUGAAAGCAAAGGUCCGGAUAAAUCCAUCUGAAAGCAAUUACAGUCCACCGGCCAAUUGUCAAAAAAACCCAAAGAGGCAUCGAUCAUCAUGGGGAAAGGGGAGAGCGACGACUGGGAUGAGAAGCACGGGGACACGAGGCAGACUCAGCCUCGCAAACAGAAGGAGACUGAGGGUUCAAGCUCCGGGAGCAAAUGUCCCAAGUGCUGCCUGCAGACACGGAACUGUCUGAUGAGCCCGGAGUGCGGCAGGGCCCUUCAGAUCUCCAGCGUCGUGGCCUGGUGUGGAAUGUGCAUCCGCCUGUUUGUGUAAGCUGACCUUGAACAUCCAGACCAGUUUCUUAAGGAUGCUUUACUGUCAUUCAGAGGUGAAAAUAUUGCUUUUCAGUCUGUUUCAUAUACUCGCCUUAUAUCUAAAUCAAGUCAUUAUUUAUUUAACAUAGAACAAUUCAGUAUUUGUACAUAAAACAAACUAAAUAGACAAUUUUCAUGAAUUAAUUCAUUAAUUGAUGCUUGUGACUGUGUAUUUGAUCCAUAUUGGUUGUUCAUUAUAUAUGUCUGUCCAAAGUGUAAUAAUUGUGUCCUAUUAGACGUUCGAGAGAGCUGUUAUAAUUGGGCUUCAUAAUGCCAUGAAGCCCAAUGGUAUUUAUUGAGCUCACAAUGACUUUGAAUCAUUUCAGUCUUGAGUUGGGGGGGGGACACUUUAGCCAAAUUUGCUCUAAGGGAUUGCUGAGACAUCACGAGAACGAACUGGAGGUGCGGACGGACGACCCCAAAACCCAAUUGGUCCAGCCUAGUCUGUCGGCGACACGACACACACGAUUAUAAACAAGCGAACCUGACGACGUGAAGAGGAAUGUUACAGUGAAACCCAAGCAUCUUCUCUAGAAUAAUGAGUAAGAUGAAAAAUGUAUGAAGGAAUGAAAAACUUGAAAUAACGUUUGCAGGAACAAGGACAAGUGUACUUCAUCCAACACAAAUAAUGAGAGACCUCUGGUUAAUUAAAAGCCUUGGACCACCCUGAUGAUCUUCGUGGCAUGGUCAUUUUGAGAGAGGGGCUCAUUGUGAACAUAACAAGCGAGCUAGCAAAGAAUAGAUUUCAUUUUUUGUGAUGAUUUCACAAGGCAACAAUAA